Molecule: ribosomal RNA, 473 nt
Filed under: uncultured beta proteobacterium
Lineage: Bacteria; Pseudomonadati; Pseudomonadota; Betaproteobacteria
Description: bacterial SSU rRNA
Rfam family: Bacterial small subunit ribosomal RNA
Source: RNAcentral
GGCGGCAUGCCUUACACAUGCAAGUCGAACGGCAGCACGGGGGCAACCCUGGUGGCGAGUGGCGAACGGGUGAGUAAUACAUCGGAACGUGUCCUGUCGUGGGGGAUAACCAGUCGAAAGACUGGCUAAUACCGCAUGAGAUCGAGAGAUGAAAGCAGGGGACCGCAAGGCCUUGCGCGAUUGGAGCGGCCGAUGUCGGAUUAGCUAGUUGGCGGGGUAAAAGCCCACCAAGGCGACGAUCCGUAGCUGGUUUGAGAGAACGACCAGCCACACUGGGACUGAGACACGGCCCAGACUCCUACGGGAGGCAGCAGUGGGGAAUUUUGGACAAUGGGGGCAACCCUGAUCCAGCCAUGCCGCGUGUGUGAAGAAGGCCUUCGGGUUGUAAAGCACUUUCGGACGGAACGAAAUCGCACGGGUGAAUAUCCCGUGUGGAUGACGGUACUGUAAGAAGAAGCACCGGCUAACUACGU